RNAcentral lists this long non-coding RNA (1334 nucleotides) under Marmota monax (woodchuck). Lineage: Eukaryota; Metazoa; Chordata; Mammalia; Rodentia; Sciuridae. The record is from RNAcentral.
UGAUGCUCUAAUAAAAAAGAGGGGAAUAAAAAGAUUUGCAGAAACAUGAAGUGAUAUCACUCUUCUUGGUUUUUUGUUUGUUUUGGAAAAUAGUUAUAUUUAUUAAAAUAUAUGUGAAAAAAUAAGUACGUGUCUAGAUUGUAUCUGUGCACUUAUGUCAGGGGAGCUGUAUUUAUAAGAGAAGAAAAGCACAGAGGUUCACACUCAUGAUCAACUUGAGAAACUUCCCAGGGAUCACAUCUUCUAUCCUGAGAAGGAGAAUUUGACUGGGAAUUUUAUACUUAACUGUUGAAAAUUUGGGGAAUCAGAGGUGACAGAGAAAUAUCAAGGCCACUCUUAUGCUUUCUUACCAGACAGUGCAUCUUGGGACAUGCAUCCUGUCUUGGCCCCCACCCACUGUAUCAAUCCCUGUAGUUCUUCAUUGUCAGGAAAAAGAAUAAGCUGCACUGAGACUCCCUCCCAUUCUCUGGGCACCAAAAACACAUCCUUAUUUGGUUUAAUACAUUUGUAAGUGUGCUAAGCAUUCCCAGUUUUCAAAAUAACAAGUUCAAAGGGGCAAAAAUAGUAUAUGUUCAUUUAUUUAUUUAUUUAUUUGGUGCUAGGGAUCCAAACCCAGGGCCUCAUACAUGCCAAGCAUAGACUCUACCACUGGCCUAUACACCCACUCCAGCACGUGUUCAUUUGUGUUUCCCUAUACUAUAUAGUGCUGCAUCUUACCUACCACAAACAGAUACUGAUUUUUUUUUAAUUAACAAUUAAAUACUGGAUUUUCUGGACAAGGUCACCUUCCUGACCCCCUUUCCACCCUCUGUGCAUCCUCUGUCCACCCUUCCUUACUUUCAGAGUUAGUCACCCCUUAUCCAGUUGUUUACCCAUUGAAGUAGUCUUGAUAUUGAGGGAUGAGUGAGAUGUGUGUUGGAGAUAGACUAAGAGAAGGAUAUGUUUUCUCAUCAGUAGUUUGAUUAUCACCAGAACAUGAGGCCUGUGGGUAGAUAAAAGCCAAGAAAGGAGAGUGUGCUAGCAUUCCAGAAUCAGGGUCUCUUGUUAGGAGUGCAAUAUCUCCAUUGUCCUGCUCUUGAAGUGUAUGUGAUAAGGCCCCUCCUUGUUCCCCUAGAUUUGAGGUUGGAGGCAUCACUUCAGGUCUCCAUGCACCAGAGUCUUAGGACCUCAGCAUUUAUCUGUGGUUCCUUUUCUCUCCCUUCACCUUUUCUACUUUAACCAGUCAAAAUCAUAUCCAAGAUCAGACAACAGAAGCUUUGCCUCCUUCUAGUGGAUAUGCUUGCAUUAAGGAUAACAAAGCUAAGAUUACAUCCCAUAUAUUUUUGACUACUGUC